This 234-nucleotide long non-coding RNA is filed under the name Capsella grandiflora. RNAcentral's name for it is "long non-coding RNA (CGRA_LNC000017)". Lineage: Eukaryota; Viridiplantae; Streptophyta; Magnoliopsida; Brassicales; Brassicaceae. The record is from RNAcentral.
UAUUUCCUUUGCUGAUGAUGACAUGGAAUGAUGCAUUUAAAGUCAUUUUUAAUUGAUGAAGUGGCAUGUCAACCACCAAACGAACAUGUAACUCACCCAAAUUAAAUUAGCCAUACAACAAAUCUUUAAUUCAACCGCAUCAUGAAUACUACUACAGUAAUUUUCAAAAAAAAGAAAAAAAGGCUCCCAAAUUCAGUUGAAAUGUAAAUCUUUAACUAAGUCGUAUCGUUUAAU